This 465-nucleotide ribosomal RNA is filed under the name uncultured bacterium. RNAcentral describes it as "partial 16S ribosomal RNA". It matches the Rfam family "Bacterial small subunit ribosomal RNA", at positions 28 to 507 of the family's 1533-position model. The record is from RNAcentral.
GACGAACGCUGGCGGCGUGCUUAACACAUGCAAGUCGAACGGAAAGGCCCCUUCGGGGGUACUCGAGUGGCGAACGGGUGAGUAACACGUGAGUAACCUGCCCUUGACUUCGGGAUAACUUCAGGAAACUGGGGCUAAUACCGGAUAGGAAUCCUUGCUGCAUGGUGGGGGUUGGAAAGCUUCGGCGGUUUUGGAUGGACUCGCGGCUUAUCAGCUUGUUGGUGGGGUAGUGGCUUACCAAGGCUUUGACGGGUAGCCGGCCUGAGAGGGCGACCGGCCACAUUGGGACUGAGAUACGGCCCAGACUCCUACGGGAGGCAGCAGUGGGGAAUAUUGCACAAUGGGCGGAAGCCUGAUGCAGCAACGCCGCGUGCGGGGUGACGGCCUUCGGGUUGUAAACCGCUUUCAGCAGGGGCGAAGCUUGUGGUGACGGUACCUGCAGAAGAAGCACCGGCUAACUACGUG